UCGAACGGUGAAGCCCUUCGGGGUGGAUCAGUGGCGAACGGGUGAGUAACACGUGGGCAAUCUGCCCUGCACUCUGGGACAAGCCCUGGAAACGGGGUCUAAUACCGGAUACGACCACGGAACGCAUGUUCUGUGGUGGAAAGCUCCGGCGGUGCAGGAUGAGCCCGCGGCCUAUCAGCUUGUUGGUGGGGUGAUGGCCUACCAAGGCGACGACGGGUAGCCGGCCUGAGAGGGCGACCGGCCACACUGGGACUGAGACACGGCCCAGACUCCUACGGGAGGCAGCAGUGGGGAAUAUUGCACAAUGGGCGCAAGCCUGAUGCAGCGACGCCGCGUGAGGGAUGACGGCCUUCGGGUUGUAAACCUCUUUCAGCAGGGAAGAAGCGCAAGUGACGGUACCUGCAGAAGAAGCACCGGCUAACUACGUGCCAGCAGCCGCGGUAAUACGUAGGGUGCGAGCGUUGUCCGGAAUUAUUGGGCGUAAAGAGCUCGUAGGCGGCUUGUCGCGUCGGAUGUGAAAGCCCGGGGCUUAACCCCGGGUCUGCAUUCGAUACGGGCAGGCUGGAGUGUGGUAGGGGAGAUCGGAAUUCCUGGUGUAGCGGUGAAAUGCGCAGAUAUCAGGAGGA
RNAcentral lists this ribosomal RNA (626 nucleotides) under Streptacidiphilus sp. ANA2803. RNAcentral's name for it is "bacterial SSU rRNA". It matches the Rfam family "Bacterial small subunit ribosomal RNA", at positions 62 to 705 of the family's 1533-position model. The record is from RNAcentral. Lineage: Bacteria; Bacillati; Actinomycetota; Actinomycetes; Kitasatosporales; Streptomycetaceae.